Molecule: ribosomal RNA, 510 nt
Filed under: uncultured bacterium
Lineage: Bacteria
Description: partial 16S ribosomal RNA
Rfam family: Bacterial small subunit ribosomal RNA
Source: RNAcentral
GACGAACGCUGGCGGCGUGCUUAACACAUGCAAGUCGAACGAAGAGCGAUGGAAGCUUGCUUCUAUCAAUCUUAGUGGCGAACGGGUGAGUAACGCGUAAUCAACCUGCCCUUCAGAGGGGGACAACAGUUGGAAACGACUGCUAAUACCGCAUACGAUCUAAUCUCGGCAUCGAGGAUAGAUGAAAGGUGGCCUCUACAUGUAAGCUAUCACUGAAGGAGGGGAUUGCGUCUGAUUAGCUAGUUGGAGGGGUAACGGCCCACCAAGGCGAUGAUCAGUAGCCGGUCUGAGAGGAUGAACGGCCACAUUGGGACUGAGACACGGCCCAGACUCCUACGGGAGGCAGCAGUGGGGAAUCUUCCGCAAUGGACGAAAGUCUGACGGAGCAACGCCGCGUGAGUGAUGACGGCCUUCGGGUUGUAAAGCUCUGUUAAUCGGGACGAAUGGCCUUCUUGCGAAUAGUGAGAAGGAUUGACGGUACCGGAAUAGAAAGCCACGGCUAACUACGUG